CUACGGGCCGCUGCAGUGAGGAAUAUUGCACAAUGGAGGAAACUCUGAUGCAGCAACGCCGCGUGGAGGAUGACGCAUUUCGGUGUGUAAACUCCUUUUAUAUGUCAAGAAAAUGACGGUAGCAUAUGAAUAAGCUCCGGCUAACUCCGUGCCAGCAGCCGCGGUAAUACGGAGGGAGCAAGCGUUACUCGGAAUCACUGGGCGUAAAGGACGCGUAGGCGGGAUAGAAAGUCAGGUGUGAAAUCCUAUGGCUCAACCAUAGAACUGCACUUGAAACUUCUAACCUAGAGUAUGGGAGGGGAAGAUGGAAUUAGUGGUGUAGGGGUAAAAUCCGUAGAUAUCACUAGGAAUACCAAAAGCGAAGGCGAUCUCCUGGAACAUUACUGACGCUAAGGCGUGAAAGCGUGGGGAGCAAACAGGAUUAGAUACCCUUGUAGUC
RNAcentral lists this ribosomal RNA (439 nucleotides) under uncultured bacterium. RNAcentral's name for it is "partial 16S ribosomal RNA". It matches the Rfam family "Bacterial small subunit ribosomal RNA", at positions 339 to 795 of the family's 1533-position model. The record is from RNAcentral.